Xyrauchen texanus (razorback sucker) is the source of this 899-nucleotide long non-coding RNA. RefSeq lists it as uncharacterized. Lineage: Eukaryota; Metazoa; Chordata; Actinopteri; Cypriniformes; Catostomidae. The record is from RefSeq and is a predicted model, not a curated record. The transcript is spliced from 4 exons.
CACCACAGUUUUGACAAAGGUCCAAAUUUAAUUAACAUACUAGGAUAAUGUAUCAUAAAGUGGUGUUUUGGGAUGAGAUUUCGAGCAGGAUAAAGUUCUUUGAACAAUUUAUGAUGAUCUAUGAUGAGCUGUUUCAGGAAUACUGCAAGACCUCUGGUUACAACAGGAGCAAAUAUAAUGCUGCAUAUCUCUCGUAACAAAAUGAACAACUGCCAGUGCACACUCUCAGGAUUGACAAUGUCCCCCAAAAGAAAAGGCACAACAGUUUUUCUUCAUAAAUGUAGUGCUGAAGUAAAAGUCUCACUUCUAAAGGUGCAACACCCUCGAGCACAUCAUGCAUUAUAUGAACACCUACAUUUUCAGUUACAUGAAAAAAUUCUACGGUAUUCAAGCACGAGUCUUCUUUGAUUCCUGGAAUACUAACGUCAUUCAGCACAACAUGCUGGAGGACUUUUAUGUCAUCUAAAAGAGGCUCAAAGAUUUUUGCAAAGCCAUACAACACCGGCAGAGCGCCAGCAGUACGCCAAACCAGGCAGCAAAAAAGACUCAAAUACCCUCUCCAGCCUCUACAAGAGAAGAAGUGCUGGAACUGCAGAGAGACGUCCUACAGCUACACAGAGGCGUUUCCAGCAUUGAAGGACAUCCGGGGCUUAGCCCAGAUUUUAUUUGCACACUAGCAACCACUUCUCUGUAGUCCAAAGCUGGUGAGAGGGUAUUCUUUGAGUUUUGCUCUGGCUGGGCCUGUUUCUACAGUUCCUAAAUCUUCCACUCUAGUACUAUCCUCGACUAACUCAUCCUCUCUCCUCCCUGAAUCAUCUGUGAUGCAAAUGAACAGAUACAGCACAUAACGCAUUGCAAAUCAUCUUCAAACAACUAAUUCAUCAAGUGCUACAUAUUUC